RNAcentral lists this ribosomal RNA (202 nucleotides) under Citrobacter werkmanii. Its description in RNAcentral is "partial 23S ribosomal RNA". It matches the Rfam family "Bacterial large subunit ribosomal RNA", at positions 2747 to 2925 of the family's 2925-position model. Lineage: Bacteria; Pseudomonadati; Pseudomonadota; Gammaproteobacteria; Enterobacterales; Enterobacteriaceae. The record is from RNAcentral.
AGCUAAAUGCGGAAGAGAUAAGUGCUGAAAGCAUCUAAGCACGAAACUUGCCCCGAGAUGAGUUCUCCCUGAGACUUAAAGUCUCCUGAAGGAACGUUGAAGACGACGACGUUGAUAGGUCGGGUGUGUAAGUGUAGCGAUACAUUGAGCUAACCGAUACUAAUGAACCGUGAGGCUUAACCUUACAACGCCGAAGGUGUUU